Molecule: unclassified non-coding RNA, 811 nt
Filed under: Hevea brasiliensis (rubber tree)
Lineage: Eukaryota; Viridiplantae; Streptophyta; Magnoliopsida; Malpighiales; Euphorbiaceae
Source: RNAcentral
GUCCCCCUCUUAAACCCUUCUCUUUUCCCGAAUCCAAUAAAAUCCCCUAACCCCGGCCACCAUCGAAAGCUCAAAACCCCCCCCAAAAAGUCCAUAUGGAGCCAAAAGCAGUGAAAUCUGACCUAGUCCUUAUCCUGGAUUAUGGCUCCCAGUAUACCCAUCUCAUCACUCGCCGAAUUCGCUCCCUUAACGUAUUCUCCCUCUGCAUUUCUGGCACUUCCCCUCUCGAUGCUAUCACUUCCCUCAACCCUAAAGUCAUCAUCCUCUCCGGAGGGCCCCACUCUGUCCAUUCUCCUAACUCCCCCACCUUUCCUUCUGGGUUUGUGGAAUGGGUCCAGUCCAAUGGGUGCUUCGUGCUUGGCAUUUGCUAUGGGUUGCAGUUGAUAGUGCAGAGAUUGGGAGGGGAAGUAAGGGUUGGAGAAAAGCAGGAGUAUGGGAGGAUGGAAAUUGAGGUCGAAAAGAAUUUGGGUAUUCUUGGGAAUAAAAAAAUUGGGGAUAGGCAGGUGGUUUGGAUGAGCCACGGGGAUGAAGUUGUGCGUUUGCCCGAGGGUUUUGAAGUGGUGGCCAGAAGCCAACAAGGUGGGGUUGCGGCAGUGGAGAAUCGGGAGAAGAGGUUUUGUGGUUUGCAGUACCACCCGGAGGUGACUCAUUCACCAGAGGGCAUGGAUACCCUACGCUAUUUUCUCUUUGAUUUUUGUGGAGUUGGUGCAAGCUGGAACAUGGAAAAUUUGGUGGAUGAAGAAAUCAAGGUGAUCAAAGGCACAGUGGGGCCUGAAGAUCACGUCAUAUGUGCAUUGUCAGGGGGUGUGGA